UGGUAUGCAAUGCCGCAUUAAACCUGCGUUUGUAGAGGGUGAUAUCCCGUACUGGUGGACGUGCGCUGCAGUCACUCGCAAGCCGGCAAAAUUCGCUUUGCCUUUAAUGAGCUCGCCUCUGGCCAGCUGCUUGUUAGAAACGGCUUUCAGCAGAGGCCCAUAAAGGUCCCCGUCACGCUGAGACUGUGGACUGACCUGGACCUCCUCAUAUUUCGCAUAUGACAGAAAAUACGGGCGUAAAGCAUUUUUAUGUCCUGUUUGCGUCAGAGAGAUUCCUGUCAAGUACCAUCUGAUAGCAGAGCACUUAUGGACCUCCGGAUGAGGUCUUCUGAUUCGGACCCCAGCGGAUUCUCAGAGCAGCAGGCUGUGGCUCUGUGGAACUCGUCACUGAUCCUGGACCAGUCUCCGCCCUGACACUGAGGCCCAGCAAAUGGCAUGAAGAUUUUGCGAGAGCGUUAUCACAGCAGCAAUACUCAAUCGUCGCCUCUAGGGGGAGUCAGAAAACAGCUACACCAGGUACCCACAUCAACAUCCCGAUGGCCUCCAACCAUCAAAGCAUCUGUUAACAAGUCACGUAGCUUUAAGUUUACCAUUCAUCAUUGACAUCCAUGGUAUCCAUUCAUCACUCACCAGUGUAUUUACUGAAACAAUUCGGAUACUUAGCUCAAGGGUACA
Molecule: long non-coding RNA, 675 nt
Organism: Brienomyrus brachyistius
Lineage: Eukaryota; Metazoa; Chordata; Actinopteri; Osteoglossiformes; Mormyridae
Exons: 3
Source: RefSeq, a predicted model, not a curated record